UACGUAGGGCGCAAGCGUUGUCCGGAAUUAUUGGGCGUAAAGAGCUCGUAGGCGGCUUGUCACGUCGGGUGUGAAAGCCCGGGGCUUAACCCCGGGUCUGCAUUCGAUACGGGCUAGCUAGAGUGUGGUAGGGGAGAUCGGAAUUCCUGGUGUAGCGGUGAAAUGCGCAGAUAUCAGGAGGAACACCGGUGGCGAAGGCGGUUCUCUGGGACGGUACUGACGCUGAGACGCGAAAGCGUGGGGAGCGAACAGG
RNAcentral lists this ribosomal RNA (253 nucleotides) under uncultured bacterium. RNAcentral describes it as "partial 16S ribosomal RNA". It matches the Rfam family "Bacterial small subunit ribosomal RNA", at positions 524 to 776 of the family's 1533-position model. The record is from RNAcentral.